RNAcentral lists this ribosomal RNA (1436 nucleotides) under uncultured organism. Its description in RNAcentral is "SSU rRNA". It matches the Rfam family "Bacterial small subunit ribosomal RNA". The record is from RNAcentral.
UCUACAGGCUUAACACAUGCAAGUCGAGGGGCAGCAUGGUCUUAGCUUGCUAAGGCCGAUGGCGACCGGCGCACGGGUGAGUAACACGUAUCCAACCUGCCGUCUACUCUUGGACAGCCUUCUGAAAGGAAGAUUAAUACAAGAUGGCAUCAUGAGUCCGCAUGUUCACAUGAUUAAAGGUAUUCCGGUAGACGAUGGGGAUGCGUUCCAUUAGAUAGUAGGCGGGGUAACGGCCCACCUAGUCUUCGAUGGAUAGGGGUUCUGAGAGGAAGGUCCCCCACAUUGGAACUGAGACACGGUCCAAACUCCUACGGGAGGCAGCAGUGAGGAAUAUUGGUCAAUGGGCGAGAGCCUGAACCAGCCAAGUAGCGUGAAGGAUGACUGCCCUAUGGGUUGUAAACUUCUUUUAUAAAGGAAUAAAGUCGGGUAUGGAUACCCGUUUGCAUGUACUUUAUGAAUAAGGAUCGGCUAACUCCGUGCCAGCAGCCGCGGUAAUACGGAGGAUCCGAGCGUUAUCCGGAUUUAUUGGGUUUAAAGGGAGCGUAGAUGGAUGUUUAAGUCAGUUGUGAAAGUUUGCGGCUCAACCGUAAAAUUGCAGUUGAUACUGGAUAUCUUGAGUGCAGUUGAGGCAGGCGGAAUUCGUGGUGUAGCGGUGAAAUGCUUAGAUAUCACGAAGAACUCCGAUUGCGAAGGCAGCCUGCUAAGCUGCAACUGACAUUGAGGCUCGAAAGUGUGGGUAUCAAACAGGAUUAGAUACCCUGGUAGUCCACACGGUAAACGAUGAAUACUCGCUGUUUGCGAUAUACUGCAAGCGGCCAAGCGAAAGCGUUAAGUAUUCCACCUGGGGAGUACGCCGGCAACGGUGAAACUCAAAGGAAUUGACGGGGGCCCGCACAAGCGGAGGAACAUGUGGUUUAAUUCGAUGAUACGCGAGGAACCUUACCCGGGCUUAAAUUGCAGAUGAAUUACGGUGAAAGCCGUAAGCCGCAAGGCAUCUGUGAAGGUGCUGCAUGGUUGUCGUCAGCUCGUGCCGUGAGGUGUCGGCUUAAGUGCCAUAACGAGCGCAACCCUUGUUGUCAGUUACUAACAGGUUCCGCUGAGGACUCUGACAAGACUGCCAUCGUAAGAUGUGAGGAAGGUGGGGAUGACGUCAAAUCAGCACGGCCCUUACGUCCGGGGCUACACACGUGUUACAAUGGGGGGUACAGAGGGCCGCUACCACGCGAGUGGAUGCCAAUCCCCAAAACCUCUCUCAGUUCGGACUGGAGUCUGCAACCCGACUCCACGAAGCUGGAUUCGCUAGUAAUCGCGCAUCAGCCACGGCGCGGUGAAUGCGUUCCCGGGCCUUGUACACACCGCCCGUCAAGCCAUGGGAGCCGGGGGUACCUGAAGUGCGUAACCGCGAGGAGCGCCCUAGGGUAAAACUGGUGACUGGG